AUACUUACCUGAACGGGUCAAUGGGUGAUCAAAAGGGCCCAUGGCCUAGACUUGCGACCUCCACUGCAUUAGGGACGGGUGCUUAACAUCUCCGCAAGUGGGAGAGUGUACGUCAUUAUUUGUGGCAGUGGGGAUACGCGUUCGCGUGGCCACUGU
RNAcentral lists this small nuclear RNA (156 nucleotides) under Nelumbo nucifera (sacred lotus). RNAcentral describes it as "U1 spliceosomal RNA". It matches the Rfam family "U1 spliceosomal RNA". Rfam says of the family: U1 is a small nuclear RNA (snRNA) component of the spliceosome (involved in pre-mRNA splicing). Its 5' end forms complementary base pairs with the 5' splice junction, thus defining the 5' donor site of an intron. The record is from Rfam by way of RNAcentral. Lineage: Eukaryota; Viridiplantae; Streptophyta; Magnoliopsida; Proteales; Nelumbonaceae.